RNAcentral lists this ribosomal RNA (468 nucleotides) under uncultured bacterium. RNAcentral describes it as "partial 16S ribosomal RNA". It matches the Rfam family "Bacterial small subunit ribosomal RNA", at positions 28 to 507 of the family's 1533-position model. The record is from RNAcentral.
GACGAACGCUGGCGGCGUGCUUAACACAUGCAAGUCGAACGGAAAGGCCCUGCUUUUGUGGGGUGCUCGAGUGGCGAACGGGUGAGUAACACGUGAGUAACCUGCCCUUGACUUUGGGAUAACUUCAGGAAACUGGGGCUAAUACCGGAUAGGAGCUCCUGCUGCAUGGUGGGGGUUGGAAAGUUUCGGCGGUUGGGGAUGGACUCGCGGCUUAUCCGCUUGUUGGUGGGGUAGUGGCUUACCAAGGCUUUGACGGGUAGCCGGCCUGAGAGGUUGACCGGCCACAUUGGGACUGAGGGACGGCCCAGACGCCUACGGGAGGCAGCAGGGGGGAAUAUUGCACAAUGGGCGGAAGCCUGAGGCAGCAACGCCGCGUGCGUGAUGACGUCCUUCGGGUUGUAAACCGCUUUCGCCGGUGACGAAGCGUGAGUGACGGUAAUGGGUAAAGAAGCACCGGCUAACUACGUG